CUAGAUGUGGUAGAAAUUAUGUAAACUUGGGUAGUAAACAAGCCAAUUUUUUUGAAAGAAGCAUAAAUAUAAAAGCCAAAUGAUACCAAUUGCUGAUCCUUUAAACAUUGACAUAGAAAAAGCCAUUAAAAGCUAAGAAGAUGAAAAAAUCCAACUUCUACUUUGUGUCAAAAACUGCAAUGUGUCACACAUUACAGAGGGUAACCUGGAGUCUUCCCUUACACAGAUAAAGUAGUCCCAGCUACUCUUUGUAACAGGCAAGGACGCGCACAGGAUUCGCAUUUUGUGAUUACAAGCAUGGCUUUGCCCUCCUAUGCUUGUCUUGGUUCAGGAUACAGAGAAUGGAAUUCACCUACAACUCCCUCAGGCCAAACCUGUUUAUUUAAGUAAGAAUAAUAAUUCUGGUAACAAAAUAAGCAUUGACUGAAGAAGGUAAAUGUGGAGAAACAUAAACAAGAAAUCAAGUACUUGAUUGUACACCACAAAUUCUGUGGUGCUGAAUGACUUUGACUAUGGGUCUUGAUAUUAAGGCUCAAAUAUUAAGCCUGGUAUUAAACUCAGAUUGAAGGCAAUGAGAGUUUUAUAGGAGCAUGCCUGAUCUGAAAUCCUACUUGAAUUUAAAAAAUGAAUUGGAUUAUUGUACACUCUGCUUCCACUGAGUGGUCUCUGAGCACUGGAUCCACCUGCAGUGCUGGGGUAUCCUGGCUCUCCCCUACUCCUGUCAUUACAGGGGCACUACUCAUCCAGAGAGGAAGAUGUCCUAAAUCCCAAGACGAUUGGCACAGCACACACAAGAGGAAAUCUCAGUGCGCAGCCAAUGCCAGGCAAUGAAGGAUCCUCUGUGGGAGUUGGAGGCUACAGUCAUGAUCUCUGCUGCUUCCCUUCUCUUGCCUGAAUAACCUUAAAUGCUGAUGGUGCAUCUUCAAAAGGAGAGUGGAAGCAGCCUAUGCAUAGAAUAGUUGCUAGACUGGAAGAAGAUCAAACACAGAACCCUUCAUCCCUGAACUUGAAUUCUGCAAGUGCUCUGUUUUAUAUAGUGACAGAGGAACUGAUACUAUUGCAGUAGAGAAGAAAGCACGCAAGACACUCCAUUAUGGAACCCAAACACUUUGUAUUAAUUAUCUUCCCUGAGGUUGCACAACUUUACCUGGCAUGUAAAGUUAGAAGAUGGAUAGGUCAAUAUUGGGUCUUAAAUAAUUUUGGAUAGAAGGACCUCAACUCCAUCUAGACCCUGCUUGAAGCCCAUUGACAUUAUCCAGCUUAAAAAGUUUGGCGAGUCUUCUGACUUUAGAAUGCGUUAGUACAUCCCCAGGCACACACAAAGAGCUGUGCUUGCAAAGAUGGGAUAUAUACAGGUAGAAAAUGGUGUACAGAAGCAUGUAGGAAGACUCCCUAAGCAUCAGCCAGGGUGACAAAGUGUGCUGGCCCAUGGGUUCCUAGGCUGUAUUCACAGCCCUGGAAUGCCUGCUGGAGACACCCCCCUGUAAUUUAGCUCAUUUGGUGUGCAUUAAGGAUGCUCAUUUCUAGACUCUUAAGUGAAAUGUGAUACUGAACUCAUUCUUCCUCUUACACCAGCAGGCCUUAGCAGAUGGCCAAGAGGCUGAUGGGAAGGAGAGAACAUCAGUUUUAUGGAAAAUGAUGAGAAAACUGAAAAGAUCUUAUUCCGCAGACCAAGGCAUUUACUUAUAUUUAACUGCCUAACCUCAGUCAGAGCCCUGAAUUCCAUUACUCUAUCUGAAUGUUAUGGUAUGGUGAAGUCUUAUUUGGUAAUUACCUGGUCAGAGCCACAGACUAGAAACAAGAUAUGCAGCCAGUAAAAGCCCAGUGGAGUCAUACCAGUUUAUAUUAGCUGAGAAUCCAGACUUCAAUUUCAAAUUAAAAAAUUCAGAAAUUGCAUUUUUCCAUGGCAUUUUGGUCAUAUUAUACAGGGGGAAAAAUAAGAAAAUAAAAAAUAAAGUUGUAGCUAUUUAUAUAACCAAGACAGAAGCAGAACCAAUGUGAAAUCUUUAGCAAUGAAGUUCUACAUCCCAAUUAUUAGAUAUUUCAGUGUUGGUGCCAUUUGGAUUACUGCUUAACUUUAGGGCAGCAAGGUAAGCUCAUUUUCUUGCCUCUGUCUUUUCAGCCACCAUUCGGGCUGCAACCUUCCCAUCCUCCAGGGAGAGGGAGAGAAGUUACACAAUAGGUGUUUUUCCAUGGGCGGAUGUCUAAAUGUGAAGGGAAACAAUUGAAUUUUAAUGACAAUUUUGAGACUCCUGAAGUUAAUUUCUGGGCAGUGCAGAAAUUAGUGGGGAUUGGUGCUGCCAAGAGCUUCAUGUUCUCCUCUCCUUCUAAUGUUGGCAGGAUUAAAGGUCUCAGCUUUUGGCAGAAGUAACUCCCAAAAUAGUAGGGUCCUUCUCUCUUGCCUUCUCUCAAAAGGGAGAGCAAGAGACCUGCUGCUGUCAGACCCAACCAAGGGUCACUGCAGAGCAAUGGCUACAAAAAACAGGGUAACUGCACCAGAUUUACACUACCAGAGAUGUGUUCUCAUUAGGUAUUUACAGCAGAGUAGCAUUAUCUAGGGUGGAAUGGUAAAUUUGUUAGGUGCUGCACAAAACAUUUAACCGGAAAAACUUCCUGCAUCCAAAAGCACUACAAAAACGAUUGAGGAAGGAGAGUGGCAAACAAGGGGAUAUCCUGGGAAAAAAAAGUACACCAGUGAUUACAGCAAAGGCAGCCAGCUAUGAAGGCUUUUCCUACAUGCAGGGUAACAAUAAUUCUGCCAAGGAGGCAAGUUCUUUCCUUUUUACCUAUGCUAUUUCCACUGCAUUACUGAAUCAUGGCUUGUUAAUGACUUAAAAACAAUAAGUUUAAAAAGCUUUAGGAACUUUGUAUUUUUAUAGAAAUUGAUAAAUUGGUACGUAUUGUCUUGGGUAUGACAUAAUCCAAUAGGUUUUGGGGUUGUGGUUGUCAGGGUGGGGUUUUUUAAUGCCUUUAAUAAAGAAGGGAUAAUUUUGGUCUUGUUUUUGUCUUCUUAGAAGAUUCAGAAAGGAAUAUAAUGGGUAGUCCCAGAAUCUGUAUGUAUGUAAUUGUAGAUAGCAAAGUAGAAAAUAAAAGAUGCUUCAAAAUAGUGCCAAUCAUUUAA
Molecule: long non-coding RNA, 3121 nt
Organism: Vidua chalybeata
Lineage: Eukaryota; Metazoa; Chordata; Aves; Passeriformes; Viduidae
Exons: 2
Source: RefSeq, a predicted model, not a curated record